AGGUGGUCAGGUAGAGAAUACCAAGGCGCUUGAGAGAACUCGGGUGAAGGAACUAGGCAAAAUGGUGCCGUAACUUCGGGAGAAGGCACGCUGAUAUGUAGGUGAAGCGACUUGCUCGUGGAGCUGAAAUCAGUCGAAGAUACCAGCUGGCUGCAACUGUUUAUUAAAAACACAGCACUGUGCAAACACGAAAGUGGACGUAUACGGUGUGACGCCUGCCCGGUGCCGGAAGGUUAAUUGAUGGGGUUAGCGGUAACGCGAAGCUCUUGAUCGAAGCCCCGGUAAACGGCGGCCGUAACUAUAACGGUCCUAAGGUAGCGAAAUUCCUUGUCGGGUAAGUUCCGACCUGCACGAAUGGCGUAAUGAUGGCCAGGCUGUCUCCACCCGAGACUCAGUGAAAUUGAACUCGCUGUGAAGAUGCAGUGUACCCGCGGCAAGACGGAAAGACCCCGUGAACCUUUACUAUAGCUUGACACUGAACAUUGAGCCUUGAUGUGUAGGAUAGGUGGGAGGCUUUGAAGUGUGGACGCCAGUCUGCAUGGAGCCGACCUUGAAAUACCACCCUUUAAUGUUUGAUGUUCUAACGUUGGCCCGUAAUCCGGGUUGCGGACAGUGUCUGGUGGGUAGUUUGACUGGGGCGGUCUCCUCCUAAAGAGUAACGGAGGAGCACGAAGGUUGGCUAAUCCUGGUCGGACAUCAGGAGGUUAGUGCAAUGGCAUAAGCCAGCUUGACUGCGAGCGUGACGGCGCGAGCAGGUGCGAAAGCAGGUCAUAGUGAUCCGGUGGUUCUGAAUGGAAGGGCCAUCGCUCAACGGAUAAAAGGUACUCCGGGGAUAACAGGCUGAUACCGCCCAAGAGUUCAUAUCGACGGCGGUGUUUGGCACCUCGAUGUCGGCUCAUCACAUCCUGGGGCUGAAGUAGGUCCCAAGGGUAUGGCUGUUCGCCAUUUAAAGUGGUACGCGAGCUGGGUUUAGAACGUCGUGAGACAGUUCGGUCCCUAUCUGCCGUGGGCGCUGGAGAACUGAGGGGGGCUGCUCCUAGUACGAGAGGACCGGAGUGGACGCAUCACUGGUGUUCGGGUUGUCAUGCCAAUGGCACUGCCCGGUAGCUAAAUGCGGAAGAGAUAAGUGCUGAAAGCAUCUAAGCACGAAACUUGCCCCGAGAUGAGUUCUCCCUGAGACUUUAAGUCUCCUGAAGGAACGUUGAAGACGACGACGUUGAUAGGCCGGGUGUGUAAGCGCAGCGAUGCGUUGAGCUAACCGGUACUAAUGAACCGUGAGGCUUAACCUUACAACGCCGAAGGUGUUU
Molecule: ribosomal RNA, 1307 nt
Filed under: Escherichia coli
Lineage: Bacteria; Pseudomonadati; Pseudomonadota; Gammaproteobacteria; Enterobacterales; Enterobacteriaceae
Description: partial 23S ribosomal RNA
Rfam family: Bacterial large subunit ribosomal RNA
Source: RNAcentral